RNAcentral lists this long non-coding RNA (11882 nucleotides) under Brachypodium distachyon (stiff brome). Its description in RNAcentral is "long non-coding RNA (BDIS_LNC000058)". The stretch from base 4370 to 4493 matches the Rfam family "MIR1120/MIR1122 microRNA precursor family". Lineage: Eukaryota; Viridiplantae; Streptophyta; Magnoliopsida; Poales; Poaceae. The record is from RNAcentral.
CAGCUCCUUACCAGAUCGCCUGUCGAUCUUGGUCACCAGCUCGGCAAACUUCACAGCAAUGUGGGAGGUGUGGCAGUCCAGCACUGGGGCGUAGCCGUUGCCAAUCUGACCAGGGUGGUUCAUGAUGAUGACCUGGGAGGUGAAGUUGGCAGCCUCCUUGGCAGGGUCAUCCUUGGAGUUGGAUGCAACAAACCCACGCUUGAGAUCCUUCACAGCAACGUUCUUGACGUUGAAGCCAACAUUGUCACCAGGAAGGGCCUCCUGGAGAGCCUCAUGGUGCAUCUCAACGGACUUGACCUCAGUGGUAAGACCAGUAGGACCGAAGGUAACAAUCAUACCAGGCUUGAUGACACCAGUCUCAACACGGCCAACAGGCACAGUUCCAAUGCCACCAAUCUUGUACACGUCCUGGAGGGGAAGACGCAGGGGCUUGUCCGAGGGCCUCUUGGGCUCAUUGAUCUGGUCAAGUGCCUCAAGCAAGGUAGGGCCCUUGUACCAGUCAAGGUUGGUGGACCUCUCAAUCAUGUUGUCACCCUCAAAACCAGAGAUGGGGACGAAGGGGACCUUGUCAGGGUUGUAGCCGACCUUCUUGAGGUAGGAAGAGACUUCCUUAACAAUUUCAUCAUAACGGGCCUUCGAGUACUUGGGAGUGGUGGCAUCCAUCUAGAACAGAUCAUCAGAGCAUCCCAUCAGUUAAAUACAGCAGGCAAAAAUUAAGUACUAGCUAAUGAAAAGAAGAUGCAUUAAAACAAGAAAUAACAUUUAUAUAGUACAAAUAAACAUUUGAUUGUAGGAUAAGAGGUACUGAGCACACAAGCAAUUGCAUUCUGUAGGAAAAUAUUAUGAUUCCAGGUCAGCAGCGUACACAACAUAAACACCAAUGCUCUAACAACACAGUAAAGUCAUGAGAUAAAAUCAACUGACUUUUGGAAGGAAGAUAAACAGUGAUGUACUAACUACACAGGGAAGUGCUACUCUGAAAGCAGACAACUCAUAAUAAGAUAAAUGGUGCUCAAUUUUCAAGGAAACUAUAGUGCCAGUGGCCAAGUCAUUCUGAAGGUUCACAUCAUGUAGAUAGCAAAGCAUUACAUGGCUGAAUGUUACUGAACAUUUACAAAGUUAUUCUGAAGUCCUUAUCAACUGGAUAACAACGCUUAAGCAGGGAUAUGAAAUUUAUUAGAACAAUCUUAAAAAGCAACAUACAGACGCAUAGAGAAAUUGAAUAUCAAAUAUACCUUGUUGCAGCAGCAGAUCAUCUGCUUCACUCCAAGAGUGAAAGCAAGGAGGGCAUGCUCACGGGUCUGGCCAUCCUUGGAGAUACCAGCCUCAAAACCUCCAGUCGUGGAGUCAAUGAUAAGCACGGCACAGUCAGCCUGGGAGGUACCGGUAAUCAUGUUCUUGAUGAAGUCACGGUGUCCAGGGGCAUCAAUGACGGUGCAGUAGUACUUGGUGGUCUCGAACUUCCACAAGGCAAUAUCGAUGGUGAUACCUCUCUCACGCUCAGCCUUCAGCUUGUCAAGCACCCACGCGUACUUGAAUGACCUCUUGUUCAUCUCGGCAGCCUCCUUCUCGAACCUCUCGAUCACACGCUUGUCAAUACCUCCAAGCUUGUAGAUCAGGUGGCCAGUGGUGGUCGACUUGCCAGAGUCGACAUGGCCAAUGACCACGAUGUUGAUGUGAGUCUUCUCCUUACCCAUGGCUGAAACUGCAGCAUCGAAGUAACAGGGAUUAGAAAACAGUAUAUCGUCACCAUCAACAUGUCAACAAAAUUAUAUAAGAUACAGAACUACAAAUAGAUGGGUAGUCAGAUGGAAAAGCACAAGAACGAGUGGGACAGCAGGCACCGACUAGAUCUAUUGAACAAUAUGAGAACAAGUACAGCAUGGUAAGGCUAGAAAUACACCACAACUGUAGGGUGUAAGCACAAGUUCGAUCUCUGAGGCAGUACUAAGAAUCGAUUCUAAAUCGAACAGCGCUAUCAGUGCAGGUUGAAGUAAACGAUGUCACAUCUACACGACCCACUAAUCCAUCAACCGAGAGAUCCAACCAAGCACAACUUUACAAGGAUUAAUCCGUCACAAAUCACGCUUACAGCUGCGCCAACAUGCGCCGAGAAACCGUUGUAAAUCUACAGAUCGAGGCUACAGCAUGAACUCAGAACGUCCUCCAAAUUGCAGACAAAUAUAACUUGAAUCAGCCACAAAAACAACGUACAUCUAGAUCCACUCACAGAUCGAAACAGAAUCACCCGCGUAGAUCUAGAGCUACACAACACAAAUAAGCAGAAAAGGGGGAGGAUCCAGAUGCUGACCUCGGAGAAGGAACACAGAGGACGAGGGGCGGCGGCGGGGAGAGGGGAACUGUGAGGGAAAGGGGUUUGGACGUGCGGAAUGGCCCCUUAUAUUGGCCGAGACGGCUGCUAGGGUUUCCUUCCUGGCCGUCUGAUCUCACGGUUGCUAUAAGGGGAAAUCACGUCCGUUGGAUUUCUAGUAUCGCUAAAGAUGCCUGUCCAGAGGACCCAGUUCUCGUAAUGGAAGUGCAUUGGCUCCAAAUAUUUUAUUUUCAGUCCCGUUCUUCUCUUCACUAACCUUUUACAAGUUGUUUUAAAAAACAGUACUACCAAGUUUUGGAUGAUUACCUUAUAUGUUGAGUGAGACAAAAAUAUUUUUUGUGAAAGAAUAUUUUUUGCAGGUAUUUGUGAAAGAACUUGUUUUAAGGCUAAUUAAUUGAGACGAUUGUUGGGUAUGUAUUUCAACGGUUUUAACAAACACGUGCGACGCGUCAUGAAAUUACUGUUUAUUUACAUGUUUGUGACAUAACCUCUUUUAUAUGAAUAUAUGAGGCUGCCUAAUCGUCUAGUCGGCCGAAUUUGUCAUAAGGUUGUGCCAGCUAUUGACUUGUACGCAAUGUUUUUUAAUUUAUAAAACAAGAUGUGGAGGAGCAGGACGUGGAAUGUCACAAUGUUGUUGGAGUGACAAGAAAAAUCACAAGAGAGUGCACUAAUUGAGAAUGUGUGUUCGGAUGAAGGGUUGAGACACGAGUGUAGGCCGAUAAAUGAUAUAUGUAUAGUUAACUCCGACCUAAAAAGAUUAAAUAUGCAAGUGUGGAUUGCUUGACAAAAUAUAUGGAAUUUCGCGAAUUUAUCGUCGAUGAAAAUGUCAAUCUAGUUUUCUACUAUAAGUUUUUGGGUUAUGUACUAGCCAGUUGCACGCUAUUUUUCCUAAAUUUCAAUCACAGUUCAAAGCUUUGGAUCAACACCUAACAUAUUUCAUUCCAAGUAUCUCUACAUAGCAUACAAAUUGAAAUAUGCAAUAACAUACCAGUAAAGUUGCCCACCUUCAAGAUUGCAAUUUUAAGAUGUGUUGUGCUACUACAUUUUCUAUAACUCUCAGGUUGCCCUUUUUUUUUUCUGGAAUCAGUCGCAUUUCAAAGCCUUUGGUCAACAUCCAACCAUAUAUAGUUACCUCAGCCACUCGAUGUAUAACUUGCAAUCGAACACUAUAUUAACUUUUUUUUUGAAGUUUUACCUCUUUAAGAUGUGCAAUUCCGUGCAUCUUUACCUCAGCCACUCGAUGUAUAACUUGCAAUCGAACACUAUAUUAACUUUUUUUUUGAAGUUUUACCUCUUUAAGAUGUGCAAUUUCGUGCAUCUAAGUGCAUCUAAGGUAAUCGAGAUUUCAGGAAAAAAUUAGGGUUAGGUACUUUUUGAGUUCUGGACAUUUUCUAUUAUCCGUUGAUAAAUGUGCGUGAGCUGCUCGACCUUACAGUGCCCCCAAAUUGAAUUAAUGUCUCAUUAAAGACAUGCUUCGUUGAAAAAGAAACUCAGCUUGUUCAUCUAUCUGCGAGCACUCGCGUCAUGCGUCGACUGUUCAUCAACAUUUUUUGUAUGCGUCAUUGCUUAUGUUUGUCUGCCGAAUGCACGCCACGGCACCACAGGACUCCACCUUUUGCACAAGCCUUGAACAGCGGAGCGCUCCUAACUCCCUGUCUCCAGGAAUUAUCUAGCCAGGCCACAGAAGGCACUUGUAGAACAUCACUCACGGAGCACGUUAUCACUGGUUUACAACGCGCGACAACCCCUCAUUUUAAAUUGUGCCAUAGGAUUACAAAUUCUUGGAGACUUUCCUUAUCGGUUUCUAUUACUCAUUUUCACUCCCAUUUGUUUUCUUUCCACUAGUUGAACCUACCUUUUGUUGGUCUCGUUGGUCCCGUUCGUCAAACUUUUCCGAAGAAAAGACCACAUGGUCCUUUAUGUUCCUCCUACCAAUCUUUAGUCCUUCUCUCAUCCGUAGGAUUAGUUGUACGUAUAACCAAAGUCACGUAUGUCUACGGAACGCACAGAAAGCCGGGUACAAAAUUAUUUCUUUGCCAUCUACUCCCUUCGUUCCAUAAUUCUUGUCCAAAAUUUGUCCAAAAGUGAAUGUAUCUAUUCGUAAAAGUCGUCUAGAUACAUGUAAUAUUUCGACAAAAUUAUGGAACGGAGGGGGUAGUAAAUAAAGUGCAGCAGGUGGCUUGGAACACAACAGUUAAAGAAACUCACAUGUUGGAGUUAACUCCAGCCGAUGUGAUUUUUAGAUGAAUUAGUUUGUUUUCUAAUUCUUGAGAUGAAUUAAGAUUUUCUUGUUUUUCUUCAUCAGGAUACCAAGCUUCUGAUUAUUUUAGUCGGAGAAGGCUGCGCUGGAGCAAGAAGGCUUGGAACUCAAGUACACAGACUGUACCGCAACAUGCCUGUGUGCGGAUAAGUUGGCCCAGAGAGCACUUUAAUAGAAUAGAACCUGGCCAAGCUAUUAGACAGAAAGAUACUUUUAAGAAUAAUACAGUGUGCUAUUUAACGGACAUCUGUUCCUUCCACGUUAUUGUUGUUCUGGUUACCUACUCUUUAGUAUUUACCCGGAACCAUCUCUUAGAUUAGCUGAUAUAUCCACAUUUAUUCAGUAAGUAGCAAGUGGAUAUGAGAGGUUGUCACAAGCAGCCGGUUGCCUUGCCUCAAGUUGUUAUUUUGUUGGGCAAAAUAUCCGGUGAAAACCACCUCUACGGUGCAAACUGUGAAAACUCCAUCGAAAAAGGUUCAAAAAAUUCUCGAAACAACGUUAGAAAAGUGAUGUUUUAUAUAUGUGCAAAAUUUCAAGUCCAAAUUCAGUGGCAUUUGGUAGCAGCAAAAAAAACAAAUUAUGCAUGAAUAGUGAUCUUUCAAUGUCUGACACUAUUCAUCGUAAAUUUCUCUUUUUAAUUCCUUCCAAAUGAUUUUGACUUUGAACUUGAAAUUUUGCAGGUUUGUAGAACAUCACACUCCCAACAUAUGGUAUUUUUGUAGAAUUUUUUUGAAACUUUUAGACAUGGUUUUUAUGAAGUUUGCACGGUUUGCACCGAUGAAGGUUUUCACCAGAUACGCCGCCUUGUUGUUGCCUCUUCAUUUAUGGAGUUUCAUUCAGUGUGCAUUCUAUUUUUUUUUUUGUCAAUUUGGCAGAAAAUUAUACUGACAAUUUACAUGACUUAUGUUUUUAACUCUGGACAACCCCCAUAGAAGGAAAAUGGCACAUGUGUGUAGUUUUGGGUUAUUAAGUAGAUAUUGAAAGUUAAGUUUGUUUAGUGAGAUUUUAUGUUGCAAGUUGUUUUGAGAAAGUAAUAAAAAGAUCCCUCUUUGGUGCAAUCUGGAUUGCCGUGAGCCUGUGAUCUACUAUUGAACCACAAUAAAACAACGAAAAGAAUUUAGAAACGGAGGGGGCAGUAACGCCAUAGCAAUGAGCCUUGACAAUAGUUGCGAGAAAACACACAAGUUCAGAAAUAAUGAAAAUAUAUAAGUCAACAUGUGCGCUGCACAAUUACUAGUAAAUAAAAUGCACCGGGUGGCUUAAUAAUUCAACAGUCAAAGCCUCCUCGCGUGUUGGAGUUAAUUCUGGUCGAUUUGAAUAUUCAGAUGAAUUAGUAGAUUUUUUAAUUCUUGAGAUGAAUUAAUCUUAUUUAUAAGGGCAAAGAGCUUCUGAUAAUUUUAGUCGGAAGGGGAGUGCCUUCAAGCAAGAAGGGUGUUAUGAAAUGAUUGAGAAUGAAUGAUUGUGUGUUUUUUCCAUUGAAUGAUGAUCAUAUAUAUACAAGGGGAAGGGACACCAAUACAUGCAUUGGUGUCCCAAGUUUUGGCACUCGCGUUCUAGUUUUGGGAAAAUUGGGACGCGAACGGUUAGAAGGUUAACUGCCUAAUUAACUAUUAAUUAACUAAUAAUUAAUCCUAAUUGAUCAUAACUAAUUAUUCUCAACACUCCCCCUUGAUCAAUUUGCUACGUUGAUGUGUAUAUUCUUGAAUCAUCAUGGAACCUUGUAAUCUUGUAAUUUCCUCCAAAAACCCCGUGGGAAAAAUAUUGAGGAAAUAAUAAUAAUAUUGAUAUGUUAUGAAAACUCCCUUUAAAAACCCAAUGGGAAAAUAAGGAGAAAAUGGUAUAACAUAUUUUGAAAAUUGUUUCUUGAUAAUUCAUAUCGAAUUAUGUGAACAAUAAAUAUGCCUUGUAUAUUAUCCACAAAAACCUUGGUGGGGAAAAUAGAAAAAAUGACAUAUAAUCUUAUGUUAAUAUUGUCUCAUUAAAAACCUUUUAUGAGAAACUAGUGAGUAAAACUCAUAAUAGGAAAAGAGUGCAAUAUGAUGUUAUGAACAGGUUAAACUCAGGUGAAUACUCUCCCUGAUGCUUGCAAAAUUUUAAGUCGUCGCAUACCAAUCCCAUAUACACAUUUCUGAAAUGUGGAGUUGGGUAAGGACUUAGUGAACAAAUCUGCGAGGUUAUCACAUGAUUUGGUUUGCAAGAUAUUUAUCUUCCCAUUUUGUUGUAAUUCAUGAGGAUAGAAUAGUUUAGGUGCAAUAUGUUUAGUUAUAUGGCUUUUUAUAUAACCUGUUUGCAUCUGAGCAACACAAGCAGAAUUAUCCUCAUAGAUAAUUGUAGGUGAUUAAAUUGAACCAAUACCACAUGAUUGUUGUAUGUGGUUAAUCAUUCUGCGUAGCCAUACACUUUCACGAGAUGCUUCGUAUAAAGUUAUUAUUUCCGAAUGAUUUGUGGAUGUAGCCACUAGAGUCUGCUUAGAAUACUUCCACGAUAUGGCUGUCCCACCGUGUAGGAACACGAAACCGGUCUGGGAUCUGGCAUUGUGGGGAUCAGAUAAAUAGCUAGCAUCAGUGUAUCCGAUUAAUCAGAGUUUUGGUUUUCCUUUUGGAAAUAUAGACCUAGAUCUUUAGUGCCUUGUAGGUAGCGAAAAACUUGCUUGACUCCUACCCAAUGGCGUUUUGUUGGAGCUACGUUGUGUCUAGCUAGUAAAUUUACCGCAAAUGUAAUAUCCGGCCGGGUGCAAUUUGCUAGAUACAUUAAUGCCCCAAUAGCACUAAGAUAUGAGAACUCAGGUCCCAAAAUUUCCUCUCCAUCACUUUUUGGUCUGAAUGGAUCUUUCUCCGUCUAAAGAUCAAACUAGCAUAGCUGUUUUGCAUGGAUAGGAUUUGUCCAUGUUAAAUUUCUCCAAGAUUUUCUGGAUAUAUGUAGCUUGGUGAACCAAUAUUCCCGAAGAAAGGUGCUCAAGUUGUAAACCUAAUUGGAAUUUUGUUUUACCCAAAUCUUUCAUUUCAAAUUCCGUCAUUAGAUGAUUACGAGCUUCAUCUAUAUCCUGUUUGUUGCCAAUGAUAUUUAAAUCAUCAACAUAUACAGAGAUAAUGCAAAAUCCUGUUUUCGAUUUCUUGAUGAAUACACAUGGGCAGUCAUCAUUGUUAGAGUAACCAUUUUUAAUGAGAAACUCACUUAGUCGGUUGUACCACAUUCUACUCGACUGUUUUAAACUGUAUAAAGAUUUAUUCAACUUUACACAGUACAUGUUGCGUCUUGUGUUAGUAUUCGGAAUUUGGAUGCCAUCUGGAACCUUCAUGUAAAUAUCCGAAUCUAAUGACCCAUAAAGAUAUGCAGUCGCGACGUCCAUCAACUGCAUAGAUAGACGAUUUUGAACAGACAAUGAGAUUAAAUAUCGGAAUGUAAUUCCAAUCAUAACCGGAGAAUAUGUUUCAUUGAAAUCAAAGUCGGGUCUCUACGUGAACCCUUGUGCUACUAGUCUCACUUUUCAUCUGUCGUAGCCCGGGGCUUAGACACCGGGGAUGCGAGGCACCCCCUUUUAGGUUCGGCAGUGGGCGUUGGGAUCGCUCCGGCGAUCGCCAGCGAGGCCAAUGACGGGCGCUGCAAUGCACAAGUCGGUUUACCCAGGUUCGGGCCACCCGGAGGUGUAAAACCCCACGUCCUGCUUCUGAGUGUUUAUUAACUAAAGAACAGGUGUUUACAAGGUUGUCGGGAGAGUCCCCGGGCGCUCUCUUCCCUUUUUUCUAACUGGCUACUUGCUACCUCUGGACUAGAUCUCUAGGGAUUGCAACCUCAGCUCCAGUCUAACCUUCGGAAAUCGGAACCCCUUGACUGGUGGCGCGGGUCCUCCUUUUAUACUAAGGGGAUACUACAGGUGCCACGGUUUGCAUGGGGGACGCGCCCUAGGACACGCGUCGAACAGGGACCCAAGGCAGCUGCCUUCGCUGUGCUGGCAUGCAUGCACGGUGAGACGCACUGUAGCUAGGGCCACACGUGCCCUAGAUUCACUGCGGGUUACUCACUGCAGGUUGACUAGACGGGUAACCUCCUCCCUGUCGGAGCAUUUAAUGCUCAGCCUGUGCCACACUCCACGCUCUGACCAGCCCUGCGCAAAAGGAGCCUGCCGGGCAGCCACGUGGCGUCGAUACUCUGCUUGCUGGGCACCGGCCCUAUUGUAAACGCUUGCGCCAGGGAACACUCUCCCCGGCAGGUGGGCUUCCCGGGGGGCGUCCUGACGGGGGUCUUCACGCUGUCUUCUGGGGUAAUCCCCGCAACACGGCUAGUCCUGGUCCACGGCAACCCCCUCCCCAGGCUCCUGCCGGGCCGGUGCCUUCCCAGGCAGCUCGCGCCGUGCUGCCCAGGGUGCCGUCCUUGCGGGAAGCAAGUGAGGCGACCCACACUUGAGCAACGGUGGUAGCCCGGGUGCCACUGGUGCGACAAUAGGCCUCGGGCGUGGGCCGGCAACGCCUGUUCCCGGGCGAAAUCAUCCUUGGUCGGUUGUCAGGCUACGUCCUAACCGACGCGUGGGUCCCGAGUCGUUUCGGGCUCCCGACGAUGCGCCGCUCCAGGGACUCCGCCGUUACGAGCGGAGCGGUGGGGGCGAGAUUUCCGUCUCUACGUGAACCCUUGUGCUACUAGUCUCACUUUUCAUCUGUCGUAGCCCGGGGCUUAGACACCGGGGAUGCGAGGCACCCCCUUUUAGGUUCGGCAGUGGGCGUUGGGAUCGCUCCGGCGAUCGCCAGCGAGGCCAAUGACGGGCGCUGCAAUGCACAAGUCGGUUUACCCAGGUUCGGGCCACCCGGAGGUGUAAAACCCCACGUCCUGUUUCUGAGUGUUUAUUAACUAAAGAACAGGUGUUUACAAGGUUGUCGGGGGAGUCCCCGGGCGCUCUCUUCCCUUUUUUCUAAGUGGCUACUUGCUACCUCUGGACUAGAUCUCUAGGGAUUGCAACCUCGGCUCCAGUCUAACCUUCGGAAAUCGGGAUGCACAAAAACCAUUGUACAAAAAGAUUUCUUUGCCAGCUAGUAAAUAAAGCGCAGCAGGUGGCUUGGAACACAACAGUUAAAGAAGCUCACAUGUUGGAGUUAUCUCCAGACGAUGUGAUUUUAUAGAUGAAUUAGUUUGUUUUCUAAUUCUUGAGAUGAAUUAAUCUUCUGAUUAUUUUAGUCGGAGAAGGCUGCGCUGAACCAAGAAGGGUUGGAACUCAGGUACACAGGGGCUGCCUUUGUGCGACAAGUAGCUCUGGAAGUUGAUGGUCGCAUCCAGCAGAUGCUUGAAUAGAAAAGACAGAGAAAAAUCUAAACUAGCAGGCUUAGUCCACAACACUUAUUUACUGAACCGCAACAUGCCUGUGUGGAUAAGUUGGCCCAGAGAACACUUUAAUACAGUAGAACAGAACAAGGCCAAGUUAUUAGACAGAAAGAUACUUUUAAGAAUAAUGCAAUGUGCUAUUUAACGGGUAUCUGUUUCUUCCACAUUAUUAUUGUUCUGGUUACCUACUCUUUAGUAUUUACACGGAACCAUGUCUUAAAUUAGCUGAUGUAUCCACAUUUCUUCAGCAAGUAGCAAGUGGAUCUGAGCGGUUGUCACAAGCAGCCGGUGGCGUUGCCUCAAGUUGUUAUGUUGCUGCCUCUCAUUUAUGGAGUUUCAUUCAGCGUGCAUGAUUUUUUCUAUUGUUGGUCAACUUGGCAGAAAAUUAUACUGACAAUUUACAUGACUUCUGUUUUUAAUUCUGGACGAUCCCCAUACAAGGAAAAUAUCGAAAGUUAAGUUUUUUAGUGAGACUUUAUGUUGCAAGUCAUUUUGAGAAAGUAAUAGUAAGAUCCCUCUUGGGUGCAAUUCGGAUUGCCAUGAGCCCAUGAUCUACUAUUGAACUAAACGAAAAUAAUUUAGGAGCUGAGUGAGUAGUAACGCCAUAGGAAUGAGCCUUGAUAAUAGUUGCGAGAAAACAAAAUUGUUCAGAAAUAAUGAAAUAUACAAGUCAAUAUGUGCGUUGCACAAUUACUCGUAAAUAAAAUGCACCGGGUGGCUUAAUAAUUCAAAAGUCAAAGCCUCGCGUGUUGGAGUUAAUUCCCGUCGAUUUGAAUAUUUAGAUGAAUUAGUAGGUUUUUUUAAUUCUUGAGAUGAAUUAAGCUUCUUUUUAAGGGCAAAGAGCUUUUGAUUAUUUUAGUCGGAAGGGAAGUUCCUUCAAGCAAGAAGGCGAUUAGAAUCUGAACGCCAAGUGGCACAAAUUCUGCCGUGAGAGGACAGAGUGCUUGGGGACCAGAAUAUCAACUUUUUGGUUAGAAUCUGGAAACCCAGGUGCCCAAAUGAUUCCUCUGAAAGGACAAAGAGUACUUCGGGGCCAGAAUAACAUACAGUAUUCGUAUUUUAGUUAGAAUCUGGAACUCAAGUGCACAAAUUCUCUGAGGACAAAUUGUGCUUCGAGGCCAGAAUAUAACGAUCUACUACGAAGUUGAUCGCCGUAUGCAGCGAAUGCGAGAAAAGGGAAUACAAACCAAUACUUUGGAGUUAAGAGGCCAACGUCAAGAUAGCCUAGUUGCAGUGUUACAAACAAAGAGUAAUUAUUUAUAUUGAAAUUAUUAUGUACUCUAGCUUCAAGCCAGCAGCAACAAGUGGAAAAUCUGCUGCGGACGAAAGAAGCGGAGAAACCUAACCAACCUCUAAUCAGAAAAACGGAGAACAGUGAAAAAAGAAAAAUUAGGACAUAAACGUAUCACAUGAUUACAGGCUACGCUGCUACAUAAAGAUGGAAUAGCAGAACAAAAACAAAUUGCGAAGAAAUCAAGGAAACAGAACAUGAGUUAACUAAGUUCAAUCUAAGCAAUCAGAUCCCUGAGAAGUUAAAAGGACACAAGCAUCAUAGCACACAGGUUUUAACCGAACCGAAAUAGGAAUACAGUAUUUAAACGACAGACAUGAACAUUGCUUACAUAGUUUCAAGAGUCUCAGCAAUACGAGCAAUGCACAUAGACAAAACUUAGUAAACACUAAAACUGCAGCCAGACAUCUCAAUCCCCAACACAGAACAAAUCAUUUCUUCUUGGCAGCCGCCUUGGUGACCUUGGCGCCGGUUGGGUCCUUCUUCUCCACACCCUUGAUGACACCAACAGCAACUGUUUGUCUCAUGUCACGCACAGCAAAACGACCAAGAGGAGGGUACAUGGCGAAGGUCUCCACAACCAUGGGCUUGGUGGGAAUCAUCUUCACGAUACCAGCAUCACCGUUCUUCAAGAACUUGGGCUCCUUCUCCAGCUCCUUACCAGAUCGCCUGUCGAUCUUGGUCACCAG